RNAcentral lists this ribosomal RNA (491 nucleotides) under uncultured Thalassospira sp. Its description in RNAcentral is "bacterial SSU rRNA". It matches the Rfam family "Bacterial small subunit ribosomal RNA", at positions 355 to 866 of the family's 1533-position model. The record is from RNAcentral. Lineage: Bacteria; Pseudomonadati; Pseudomonadota; Alphaproteobacteria; Rhodospirillales; Thalassospiraceae.
UGGGGAAUAUUGGACAAUGGGCGCAAGCGUGAUCCAGCCAUGCCGCGUGAGUGAAGAAGGCCUUCGGGUUGUAAAGCUCUUUCAGAUGCGAAGAUGAUGACGGUACCAUCAGAAGAAGCCCCGGCUAAUUUCGUGCCAGCAGCCGCGGUAAUACGAAAGGGGCAAGCGUUGUUCGGAUUUACUGGGCGUAAAGGGCACGCAGGCGGUCUUGCCAGUCAGGGGUGAAAGCCCGGGGCUCAACCCCGGAACUGCCUCUGAUACUGCAAGACUAGAGACUAGGAGAGGGUGGUGGAAUUCCCAGUGUAGAGGUGAAAUUCGUAGAUAUUGGGAGGAACACCAGAGGCGAAGGCGGCCACCUGGACUAGAUCUGACGCUCAGGUGCGAAAGCGUGGGGAGCAAACAGGAUUAGAUACCCUGGUAGUCCACGCCGUAAACGAUGAUUACUAGUUGUCGGGGGAACGGUUUCGGUGACGCAGCUAACGCAGAAAUCA